CCAAUAGCGUAUAUUAAAGUUGUUGCAGUUAAAAAGCUCGUAGUUGAAUUUCGGGAUCAAAUUGUCGGUCGUGCCUCGGUACGUACUGGUAUUAUUGGUUCCUCCCUUCUGACGAACCACGAUGUCAUUAAUUUGGUGUCAUGGGAAAUCAGGACUGUUACUUUGAAAAAAUUAGAGUGUUUAAAGCAGGCUCGCGCUUGAAUACAUUAGCAUGGAAUAAUGAAAUAGGACGUUUGAUUCUAUUUUGUUGGUUUCUAGGAUCGACGUAAUGAUUAAUAGAGAUAGUUGGGGGCAUUAGUAUUCAAUUGUCAGAGGUGAAAUUCUUGGAUUUAUUGAAGACUAACUACUGCGAAAGCAUUUGCCAAGGAUGAUUUCAUUAAUCAAGAACGAAAGUUAGGGGAUCGAAGACGAUCAGAUACCGUCGUAGUCUUAACCAUAAACUAUGACGACUAGGGAUCGGAUGAUGUUAAUUUUUUAAUGACUCAUUCGGCGCCUUACG
This 499-nucleotide ribosomal RNA is filed under the name uncultured Glomeromycotina. RNAcentral's name for it is "partial small subunit ribosomal RNA". It matches the Rfam family "Eukaryotic small subunit ribosomal RNA", at positions 591 to 1092 of the family's 1831-position model. Lineage: Eukaryota; Fungi; Glomeromycota. The record is from RNAcentral.